AGCCAUGGAAAUAAUAUUGGCUGCUCCCUGCAUUGGAGAUAACUCUCUGUGAGAUGCUGGCUCAGAUUCUUCCUUCCCCCGGUGAGACCAACUUCAGAACUUAAAUCCAAUAUAUAAAGGCAGAGAGGGAAAUGUUUAAUUGUCCGGGCUCUGCUGCAGGCUGAUAAGCCCGCAUUGAUUUUCUGUAGCAAAGUCUCCAGAGCGUACGUGUUGGUGUGUGUGCGGGACGUGCAUGAAUGUUUCCUGCUCCUUUGGUAUUUCUGGUCUCCCAUUGCAUGGCGAAAGCUUGAUGCUUCCUCCAGAAAAUGGCCAUUUACAGAGCAAUUAGACUUUUUCCUUGCUUGCUUGUUUUUUCCUCCUUUCAGCUUGGCUUGCUACACUUUCCCUACCAGAGCUGGGAGAGAGGACUUGGGGAAGGUGGCCCUUCACCAGCACGUGUCCCUCAACCUGGAGCUAGAAGGAACAAGCCCCACUACGAAUUGCUGCCUGGCUAUCAAUAACCGCUCCAACAUGGGCUGCCUGAGCUGGUGGCCGGGCUCUGUUCCUGGAGAGUGCACUUUUAUUUAAUAAAACAGCGCUGCAUACAAACGAAAAGGUGUGCUGAGCUCGCUUCUCCUACCUGAUAUUUAUGGAUGGAAAUAGGAGCGUUUAUUUGGCCAACGUGUAUUAAAAGGGCUGUGCAAACCUUAUUUUCUUUGUUUCAGACCCGCUCAUGACUUAAAGCUCAAAGCUGCUCACCUGAGAGCUGAUUUCCAAGCAGCAGUAACCUCUUUUUGGGAGCAAAGGACCUCCUCGCGUGGAUGAAAGCCUCUCGCCAUCAUAACCACCAUGUUCCUAAGGGGUUCAGAUAAAGCUCAGAGGCCACAAGGUAAGGCUGGAGAUGGAAAAACCUUCUCAUUUUGCUCCCUAGCUCUGGGCUGUAUGGAAAAUCAGCUCAGAAGACAGUGUGGUGGAGGGUUGUACCCAUAAAACCACAUCUCUGAAAAAGGAAUGCAUUAUCUAUUUUAAAGGAAUAAAUGAGUAGCAAACCUCUGGGUCUUUUACGAA
This 1047-nucleotide long non-coding RNA is filed under the name Anser brachyrhynchus (Pink-footed goose). Its description in RNAcentral is "lncRNA (ENSABRG00000021902.1)". Lineage: Eukaryota; Metazoa; Chordata; Aves; Anseriformes; Anatidae. The record is from RNAcentral.